GUUGAUUCUGCCGGACCCGACUGCUAUCAGAGUGGGACUAAGCCAUGCGAGUCAACAUAGCAAUAUGUGGCAUACGGCUCAGUAACACGUAGUCAGCAUGCCCAGGGGACGUGGAUAACCUCGGGAAACUGAGGAUAAACCGCGAUAAGUCACUACUUCUGGAAUGGGUAAUGACUCAAAUCUAUAUGGCCCCUGGAUUGGACUGCGGCCGAUCAGGCUGUUGGUGAGGUAAUGGCCCACCAAACCUGUAACCGGUACGGGCUCUGAGAGGAGGAGCCCGGAGAUGGGCACUGAGACAAGGGCCCAGGCCCUAUGGGGCGCAGCAGGCGCGAAACCUCUGCAAUAGGCGAAAGCUUGACAGGGUUACUCUGAGUGAUUUCCGUUAAGGAAAUCUUUUGGCACCUCUAAAAAUGGUGCAGAAUAAGGGGUGGGCAAGUCUGGUGUCAGCCGCCGCGGUAAUACCAGCACCCCGAGUGGUCGGGACGUUUAUUGGGCCUAAAGCAUCCGUAGCCGGUUCUACAAGUCUUCCGUUAAAUCCAACUGCUUAACAGGUGGGCUGCGGAAGAUACUAUAGAGCUAGGAGGCGGGAGAGGCAAGCGGUACUCGAUGGGUAGGGGUAAAAUCCGUUGAUCCAUUGAAGACCACCAGUGGCGAAGGCGGCUUGCCAGAACGCGCUCGACGGUGAGGGAUGAAAGCUGGGGGAGCAAACCGGAUUAGAUACCCGGGUAGUCCCAGCUGUAAACGAUGCAGACUCGGUGAUGAGUUGGCUAUAUGCCAACUCAGUGCCGCAGGGAAGCCGUUAAGUUUGCCGCCUGGGGAGUACGGUCGCAAGACUGAAACUAAAGGAAUGGCGGGGAGC
This 859-nucleotide ribosomal RNA is filed under the name uncultured archaeon. Its description in RNAcentral is "bacterial SSU rRNA". It matches the Rfam family "Archaeal small subunit ribosomal RNA", at positions 7 to 877 of the family's 1478-position model. The record is from RNAcentral.